Molecule: transfer RNA, 72 nt
Filed under: Bos taurus (domestic cattle)
Lineage: Eukaryota; Metazoa; Chordata; Mammalia; Artiodactyla; Bovidae
Also listed under: 2 other names
Rfam family: tRNA
About the family: Transfer RNA (tRNA) molecules are approximately 80 nucleotides in length. Their secondary structure includes four short double-helical elements and three loops (D, anti-codon, and T loops).
Source: Rfam by way of RNAcentral
UCCCUGGUGGCUCAGACAGUAAAGAGUCUGCCUACAAUGCAGGAGACCCAGGUUCAAUCCCUGGGUUGGGAA